This 1370-nucleotide ribosomal RNA is filed under the name Globospongicola spinulatus. RNAcentral's name for it is "16S ribosomal RNA". The stretch from base 894 to 1257 matches the Rfam family "Bacterial large subunit ribosomal RNA", at positions 2074 to 2646 of the family's 2925-position model. Lineage: Eukaryota; Metazoa; Arthropoda; Malacostraca; Decapoda; Spongicolidae. The record is from RNAcentral.
UCAAUAUAUUUUGAUUAAUUAUGUUUUAUUUAUGUUUGAUUUGUAGAUUGAAGUGUUUAGUUUAUGAAAAUGAUUUUUAAUUUAUUAAAUUUAUAGUAAAGAUUAUUGAAAUAUAUAAAGUAAUGGAUAAUAGGGAAGAAGUAUUGUAAAAGAAAGAAGUAUAGUUUAUUUAUGAAAAGAUGAAGGUUUUACCUUUUGUAUCAGGGGUAAUUAAAAUUUAAUUAUUUAUUUAUAAAAAUCUCGAAAAAGAAAGAUCUAAUUUUUAUGGUUUGUUAUUGUGUAAAUAUUAUUUAAAAAUAAGAAUUAGUUAUGAAAUGUUUGUCGUGUUUUUUGAUAUCUAGUUGUUGAGGAUAGAAAUUUAAUUUUUUGUUUGUUUAUUAUUAAAUAGGCUAAAAUUAUAAAAGGGAAAGCUUUUUAUAAAGGAGAAAAAUAUAAGAGUAGGGAAUAAUUAUAUGGUUAUAGGCUUGAAAUCAGUCAUUAAAAGAUUACGUUGUAGUUUACAUAUUUUUUAUAAAAAUAUUUAAUAAUUUUUUAUUUUAUAUACUUAAUGAAAAAGUAGAAUAUGAAUUUUUUGAAAAAAUGAUUAUAUUAGUAAAUGAUGUUGUAAAGUAGAAGUUUUAGAAUAUUAUAGUUAUUAUAAAAUAUUAUUUAUAUAAAUCAGGAAUUCGGCAAAGUUUAUUUUCACCUGUUUAUCAAAAACAUGUCCGUAUGAAAAAGUAUAAGGUCUAACCUGCCCAUUGAGUAAUUGAAAGGCCGCGGUAAUUUGACUGUGCAAAGGUAGCAUAAUCAUUAGUUUCUUAAUUAGGAACUUGUAUGAAGGGUUGGAUGAAAAGUAAUCUGUCUUAUUUAUAUAAAUUGAAUUUAAUUUUUAAGUGAAAAGGCUUAAAUAUAGGAAAGGGACGAUAAGACCCUAUAAAACUUUAUAUAAAUAAUAAUAUAUUUUAGAGUUAUAAGUUUAGUAAGUUAUAGUAUUAUUAAUAUUUUAUUGGGGCGAUAGAAAUAUAGUAAACUGUUUUUAAAUUAAUCAAAUAUUGUUGAUUUGAAUGAUCCUUAUAUAGAGAUUAAAAGGAUAAGUUACUUUAGGGAUAACAGCGUAAUCUUUUUUGAGAGUUCAUAUCAAUAAAAGGGAUUGCGACCUCGAUGUUGAAUUAAAAUUUCUUUAUGGUGCAGUAGUUAUAAAAGAAGGUCUGUUCGACCUUUAAAUUUUUACAUGAUUUGAGUUCAAACCGGUGUGAGCCAGGUUGGUUUCUAUCUUUUGUUUAGAAAAAUAAUAUUUUAGUACGAAAGGAUUAAAUAUUAAAAAUAUUUUUAGUUUUUGAGUAAUAAUAAGUAAGUUUUGGUUAUUAAAGUUUUAUUUUAUAAAAAAGGUU